RNAcentral lists this long non-coding RNA (484 nucleotides) under Bos taurus (domestic cattle). Its description in RNAcentral is "long non-coding RNA NONBTAT023805". Lineage: Eukaryota; Metazoa; Chordata; Mammalia; Artiodactyla; Bovidae. The record is from RNAcentral.
UGGAUCAGAGCCAGAGGAGAUACUGGGCCUGCUUUGUGAGGCAACAAUUGGCUAAUUCCGUAUGCUUUGGUCUGGCACCCUCACAACGAAGUCAGCAUCUAAGAAACAACAAUCCAAGGACGGCAAGCGGGUCUUCACUUUGAUUGCCUAGAGCACCGCAUAGGCUAUGCAGUGCACAGGAUUGCAGUGUACCACACUGCGGUACAAUGCGUGGCAUGGGAUGCUGAGGCUGCAUUUGGGUCAUUUCAUUCAACAGUUGCAUACAGAAUGCCUACUAUGUGAAUAUGCCAGGAAAUGUCCCAGGAAUCCAAAACACACAAAAGAAAGAAAUCAACCAAUCUAUCAAUCCUUGUCUCCACACAGCUGAUCCUGGAAAGAGUGUCCUGACUAAGUAAAGAUGUCUUCCACAAACAUGGGAGGCAGGAAUUGAAGCAAUUUACCUUCCACCUACCGUCCUUCCAAUCCCUUAGCAUUGGAUUUUCAG